RNAcentral lists this ribosomal RNA (466 nucleotides) under uncultured bacterium. RNAcentral describes it as "partial 16S ribosomal RNA". It matches the Rfam family "Bacterial small subunit ribosomal RNA", at positions 28 to 507 of the family's 1533-position model. The record is from RNAcentral.
GAUGAACGCUGGCGGCGUGCUUAACACAUGCAAGUCGAACGAUGAAGCCCAGCUUGCUGGGUGGAUUAGUGGCGAACGGGUGAGUAACACGUGAGUAACCUGCCCUUAACUCUGGGAUAAGCCUGGGAAACUGGGUCUAAUACCGGAUAGGAGCGUCCACCGCAUGGUGGGUGUUGGAAAGAUUUAUCGGUUUUGGAUGGACUCGCGGCCUAUCAGCUUGUUGGUGAGGUAAUGGCUCACCAAGGCGACGACGGGUAGCCGGCCUGAGAGGGUGACCGGCCACACUGGGACUGAGACACGGCCCAGACUCCUACGGGAGGCAGCAGUGGGGAAUAUUGCACAAUGGGCGCAAGCCUGAUGCAGCGACGCCGCGUGAGGGAUGACGGCCUUCGGGUUGUAAACCUCUUUCAGUAGGGAAGAAGGGAAAGUGACGGUACCUGCAGAAGAAGCACCGGCUAACUACGUG